AGUGCCAUCGUCAGACUAAUAGUGUUGAUUGCGGAUAUUAUGUGAUGAAGUUCAUGAAAGAUAUCAUCACUCACCAACAACUUGUGAUCCCAACGAAAUGUUUUGAAGAUUGUCAGUUCGUUUCCUACAAUGAAGAGCAAUUGCGUGAAGUUAAAGAUGAGUGGGCCGCUUAUGUUUUUUACAAUUGUUUUUAGUAUUUAAUCUAUUGGAUAGUUAUCUAUGAGAUGGUGGUAGAUGAAGUUAAGGACGUGGUUGAGAUAUUACGCACUUUAGAAAUUGCUUCGAAUUUAUGAAGCUUUUGAUAUUUAGAUAUAUUGGUUUUGAUAUGCUGAAGUUCAGAAAAUGUUUAUUUUAUGGCUGACUUGAUAUGCUGAAGUUCAGAAAAUGUUGAUCUUUUUUGUUUGGAAGACUCAAAUGGGGAGAGGGUCCUUAUGAUUUGGAGACUCAAGACACAUUUCUAUUGCAGAAACUCAUUUAUGGGAGUUUUUUUUUUUUUGCUGUCAUGGAAUUACUGUCCAUAUGCUUGCUAUAAGAAUAGAGGUUCUGUUUA
Molecule: long non-coding RNA, 550 nt
Organism: Lotus japonicus
Lineage: Eukaryota; Viridiplantae; Streptophyta; Magnoliopsida; Fabales; Fabaceae
Exons: 2
Source: RefSeq, a predicted model, not a curated record